GAGCGCCGUAGCAAUACGGAGCGGCAGACGGGAGAGUACACGUGGGAACGUGCCCUUCAGUUCGGAACAACCCAGGGAAACUUGGACUAAUACCGGAUACGUCCGUAAGGAGAAAGAUUUAUCGCUGAAGGAUCGGCCCGCGUCUGAUUAGCUAGUUGGUGAGGUAACGGCUCACCAAGGCGACGAUCAGUAGCUGGUCUGAGAGGAUGAUCAGCCUCACUGGGACUGAGACACGGCCCAUACUCCUACGGGAGGCAGCAGUGGGGAAUAUUGGACAAUGGGCGCAAGCCUGAUCCAGCCAUGCCGCGUGGAUGAUGAAGGCCCUAGGGUUGUAAAGUCCUUUCGGCGGGGAAGAUAAUGACGGUACCCGCAGAAGAAGCCCCGGCUAACUUCGUGCCAGCAGCCGCGGUAAU
RNAcentral lists this ribosomal RNA (413 nucleotides) under uncultured bacterium. RNAcentral's name for it is "bacterial SSU rRNA". It matches the Rfam family "Bacterial small subunit ribosomal RNA", at positions 64 to 524 of the family's 1533-position model. The record is from RNAcentral.